RNAcentral lists this ribosomal RNA (253 nucleotides) under uncultured bacterium. Its description in RNAcentral is "partial 16S ribosomal RNA". It matches the Rfam family "Bacterial small subunit ribosomal RNA", at positions 524 to 776 of the family's 1533-position model. The record is from RNAcentral.
UACGAAGGGAGCUAGCGUUGUUCGGAAUCACUGGGCGUAAAGCGCACGUAGGCGGAUGUGUCAGUCAGGGGUGAAAUCCCGGAGCUCAACUUCGGAACUGCCUUUGAUACCGCACGUCUUGAGUCCGAUAGAGGUGGGUGGAAUUCCUAGUGUAGAGGUGAAAUUCGUAGAUAUUAGGAAGAACACCGGUGGCGAAGGCGGCCCACUGGAUCGGUACUGACGCUGAGGUGCGAAAGCGUGGGGAGCAAACAGG